This 263-nucleotide unclassified non-coding RNA is filed under the name plant metagenome. Its description in RNAcentral is "partial contains small subunit ribosomal RNA, internal transcribed spacer 1, and 5.8S ribosomal RNA". The record is from RNAcentral.
UUUCCGUAGGUGAACCUGCGGAAGGAUCAUUAUUGUAUAACCGAGGUGCGAGGGCUGUCGCUGAACCGAAAGGUCGUGCACGCCCGAGUGCCCUCACACACAUCCAUCUCACCCCUAUGUGCACCACCGCGUGGGUCCCCCUUUGGCUUGUUCGGAGGGGGGCUUACGUUUUCACACAAACUUUGUAUGCAGUGUAGAAUGUAUUUUUUGUUUUUGCGAUCACGCAAUCAAUACGACUUUCAACAACGGAUCUCUUGGCUCUC